Molecule: ribosomal RNA, 228 nt
Filed under: Stereum complicatum
Lineage: Eukaryota; Fungi; Basidiomycota; Agaricomycetes; Russulales; Stereaceae
Description: partial large subunit ribosomal RNA
Rfam family: Eukaryotic large subunit ribosomal RNA
Source: RNAcentral
CCCUAGUAACGCGAGUGAAGCGGAAAAGCUCAAAUUUAAAAUCUGGCGGUCUUCUGGCCGUCCGAGUUGUAGUCUGGAGAAGCGUUUUCCGCGUUGGACCGUGUACAAGUUUCCUGGAACGGAGCGUCAUAGAGGGUGAGAAUCCCGUCUUUGACACGGACCCCAAUGCUUUUGUGAUGCGCUCUCAAAGAGUCGAGUUGUUUGGGAAUGCAGCCAAAAUGGGUGGUG